UACGUAGGGUGCAAGCGUUGUCCGGAAUUAUUGGGCGUAAAGAGCUCGUAGGCGGUCUGUCGCGUCGGCUGUGAAAACCCGGAGCUCAACUCCGGGCCUGCAGUCGAUACGGGCAGACUGGAGUUCGGCAGGGGAGACUGGAAUUCCUGGUGUAGCGGUGAAAUGCGCAGAUAUCAGGAGGAACACCGAUGGCGAAGGCGGGUCUCUGGGCCGAUACUGACGCUGAGGAGCGAAAGCGUGGGGAGCGAACAGG
Molecule: ribosomal RNA, 253 nt
Filed under: uncultured bacterium
Lineage: Bacteria
Description: partial 16S ribosomal RNA
Rfam family: Bacterial small subunit ribosomal RNA
Source: RNAcentral